RNAcentral lists this long non-coding RNA (344 nucleotides) under Daucus carota (carrot). RNAcentral's name for it is "long non-coding RNA (DCAR_LNC003836)". Lineage: Eukaryota; Viridiplantae; Streptophyta; Magnoliopsida; Apiales; Apiaceae. The record is from RNAcentral.
AUGAAGUUCCCAACUCCCACAGGAAUAGGCGAAAUCAAGGGGGAUUCUGAAACCUCGAAACGAUGCUAUGGGAUAGCCUUAGUCCUAGCGGCCACCGAGCCCGGAAACAUCAAGCGGGAGAACGCUGACAAACGAAAGCAGGAGAAGCGAAAGAAACACGCUGAAAACCUCCAAAGGAAGAACAAACGGCACCGAGAGGUGCAAGUCAUAGAAACCCAUGAUCCCACGCACGAAGAACCUCCGCGCAUGGACGCCGAACUCAAAAAAUGCUUGUUACGGGAUGAGCAACCCGUGGCAAAACCCGCUGUGGCAACAGAGCAAAUUCAGCUCUCUCCUACCGACCC